This 164-nucleotide ribosomal RNA is filed under the name Trichopilia subulata. RNAcentral describes it as "5.8S ribosomal RNA". It matches the Rfam family "5.8S ribosomal RNA". From Rfam's summary of the family: 5.8S ribosomal RNA (5.8S rRNA) is a component of the large subunit of the eukaryotic ribosome. It is transcribed by RNA polymerase I as part of the 45S precursor that also contains 18S and 28S rRNA. The record is from RNAcentral. Lineage: Eukaryota; Viridiplantae; Streptophyta; Magnoliopsida; Asparagales; Orchidaceae. RNAcentral also lists the same sequence under 2 other names.
GUCACGACUCUCGGCAAUGGAUAUCUCGGCUCUCGCAUCGAUGAAGAGCGCAGCGAAAUGCGAUAUGUGGUGCGAAUUGCAGAAUCCCGCGAACCAUCGAGUCUUUGAACGCAAGUUGCGCCCGAGGCCAGCCGGCCAAGGGCACGUCCGCCUGGGCGUCAAGC